GACGGGCCAGACCAAUGCCCACAUAUGUCCGAGGAAAAUUAUGAGGGUUGUGUUAUUAUUGUACAUGUGAUUGGAAUUGUGCCCCCUUCAUCUGUAAGGAAAGAGAUAGGAAACCUAAUCUCCUGGAUUUCGUCAAGUGGUGAUGGAUACACACAGACGCAAUCCAGCCGUCCAUCUCUGACUCUGUCAAAAAUUGCAAUUGAAGGUCCUAUACCAUGAGCAGAGGCGCACCCCAUGUAGUCCUCGACUCCUACUUCUUCUUGCAAGCCACCAUAAUCAUCUAUUACUGGCUCUUCAAAGUUCAAACACUGAUAAUAAAGCUGUUCUUAGAGAAGAUGAUGGUGUCAAUCCAGGAUUAUCAAUAGCCUUAAGGAAGUUGAGAUCAGCCAUGUCUAAAAAGUGUCUGUUGCAGUUCUUGCUGUUCGCAAAUGCCGAGUAGAUUUUUUUGGCCAUCUCCCGCAGCUUCUCUCCUCCUUUCAUUUCAUGUGUGUUCAGAGUAGCAGAGUGAUAAAAUCCUGGCCAGAAGCAAUAAUUUGGGUGGUAGUGUAAGAGUGUGUUUAGUAUUGAGGUUGCUGUUGUGGUUGUGGUUUUAAAAAAGUUAUUUUAUAAAAAGUACUUUUAGUU
Molecule: long non-coding RNA, 624 nt
Organism: Populus nigra (black poplar)
Lineage: Eukaryota; Viridiplantae; Streptophyta; Magnoliopsida; Malpighiales; Salicaceae
Exons: 2
Source: RefSeq, a predicted model, not a curated record